This 1015-nucleotide long non-coding RNA is filed under the name Cairina moschata (Muscovy duck). RNAcentral's name for it is "domestica (muscovy Duck (domestic type)) lncRNA (ENSCMMG00000000995.1)". Lineage: Eukaryota; Metazoa; Chordata; Aves; Anseriformes; Anatidae. The record is from RNAcentral.
AAAAACUCCAGCACCCAACAGAUACUACUCACAUCUGGGGGCUGUUUAUAACUAUGCUACCUAAUUUUCCUGGAACUAGAGUAAUUUAAUCAACUAAUUCUGCUGCAAUGGAUCUGAUGUUUUUUUUUUUUUUUUUUUUUUUUUUUUUUCCAGAAGAGAAAGUAGAUGCUGAGUGGGAGCACCUCAUGAGUGGUAGAGGUGAUGGAGCCAGCUCCCUGACAAGUCUUCUAGCACAAAGCAAUACCUAUAAGGCUGAUAAAUGAAGUGUGAAAGCACACUGUGAUGUAAACCAAAACUGCAUGGAAGACCUGACAGCAACCAGGAGGAUGGGCAGUAGGGAAUUUUCUCCAGCCUUCCAGAGCAGGCCACUGAUUCAACAGUAAGCUGGGAGAACCCAUGGAGAAUGCAGAGAAUGCUUUGCUACAUGGAAAGGAAUCCACAAGAAGGAAAACCCCCAAAUAGCCUCACCAGACUUUGGAUCAGGCCCAUGAAAAUGCUGUGCUUUGUACAACGAUCUAAGAAGGGGCAAAAUGAAUCACCUCUAUUUCUGCAGAAAGAAAAGACAGCAAGUCAUGAAGUUGCUCUAUGCCUCCUCUGGUUUCUGAGCUCAUGUCUUUGUAACAGAAGUCCUGGUAACCCUUCUCAUGAAGACCAUGCACAGAGGCCACAGAAGGUGGAAGAGUUCCAGCACCGUGAUGUGCAAAUUAAUUUCAGGAUUCAUGGCAGCUGUUGAUGCAGCCAGAGCACUCUGUGCCUCACUUAGUUAAUUCAGAGCUUUCCUUAAAAAAUCUUGUAGCUGUCAUGACUGAGAAGAAACUUAGAAGAAGACCUAAGUCUACUUUAAAUCCUCACAAGCUUUAAAAAAAUAAAUAAAUAAAAAUAAAAUAAAAAUAAAAAUAAAUAAAAAUAAAAAGCAACUGAAAACGAGAACACAAUAUUUCCUGUCUUCAGAAAUCUUUAUUACAUAUUGAAAAAAAUGAGCAUUACAGACAAGCUAGAGAGAGCAAGGUUUUAG